GUGACUUUGGAAUGCCUGACCCUGAACAGGACUUCUAGAUCAUGACCUCACAAGGCUCAGAGAACACUGCAAAUGAAGAGCAUAAAUGAUAUAGGAGACAGGUUAAAGAGGCGUGCUGUGAAACAAUCUUCUGGACAAAACAAGGCUGAUACGUUCGUGAACUUACCACAGUUGUGGUUACCUACAUGAGACUUAUACAGGAUUGGACCUGUCACCAUUUCAAGAUGUAUGGAAAUUGACUGACUCCUCUCAGUUCAUGGGGCUUAGCCAUCCCAGGACCUAUACUCUGUCUCCUCUUCCCUCAAGUCUGCUUUGAAAGGAACUUAGGGAAACUCAGAAAAACCUGCUGUGUUUGUCUCACGCUUGAGUUCUGAUUUUCCCAUUAAAAUGGUUGUUACCAACAA
Molecule: non-coding RNA, 404 nt
Organism: Rattus norvegicus (Norway rat)
Lineage: Eukaryota; Metazoa; Chordata; Mammalia; Rodentia; Muridae
Source: RefSeq, a predicted model, not a curated record